GGAUUAGAUACCCUGGUAGUCCACGCUGUAAACGAUGUCGACUAGCCGUUGGGCUCCUUGAGGGCUUAGUGGCGUAGCUAACGCGCUAAGUCGACCGCCUGGGGAGUACGGCCGCAAGGUUAAAACUCAAAUGAAUUGACGGGGGCCCGCACAAGCGGUGGAGCAUGUGGUUUAAUUCGAAGCAACGCGAAGAACCUUACCAGGUCUUGACAUCCAGAGAACUUUCCAGAGAUGGAUUGGUGCCUUCGGGAACUCUGUGACAGGUGCUGCAUGGCUGUCGUCAGCUCGUGUCG
RNAcentral lists this ribosomal RNA (293 nucleotides) under uncultured bacterium. Its description in RNAcentral is "partial 16S ribosomal RNA". It matches the Rfam family "Bacterial small subunit ribosomal RNA", at positions 775 to 1067 of the family's 1533-position model. The record is from RNAcentral.